UAUGACUGUUUUCCCACCCUCAUGGGUUUCUGAAACAUAUCACUUUCUCUUUGUGGUGUAAAUCCGACGCAUUCACAUGGUUGCAGGCACAAACAAUGAACAUAUGGUACUGUGUUAUUUCCCAUCUUGAUCCUACUAGCUUGCAUAUUGUUCAAACAAUCUCUCAUAAUGUACUCUCGCAUACUCGCGCAGUUCCAAUCAUUUAGCCAGUUUCAUUGAUCAAGCUCGUAGCUUAUGGUACAUGACGAUCUAUAUAAGAUGUGAAGUACGCGCAUUAUAUAAAGCGUUUGGCACAGCAUAAAGCUGCAUAUCAAGUGAAUAAUUGAUCUCGGGGGAGAGUGUAAAUCGUGCACUGAUUGCUAUACAUCACUCAAAAGGCUCCGAUCUGUUACGACUUACGACAUUCAAGUGCAUCAUGAAACCGGUACCGACGUGAUGUACGAUUGAUGUAUCAAUCUCCUGAUUAAUCAGUCUAGCUCUCAAGUCUUAAAUUUCAUUGUCGAAAAAGUACUAAAAUUUCAAUGCCUACUUCUAGACCAAAUUUUGUGGUGCUAUAAAUUUUUGCUUAGUGUUGAAAGAAAUCAGCUUUGUGUGCCUAAUCAAACUAGGAGUAGUUACAUGAUUGUAAUAGGAGAGAAUGUUCUAGAAUUCC
This is a long non-coding RNA of Rosa rugosa (rugosa rose), 652 nucleotides long. RefSeq lists it as uncharacterized. The record is from RefSeq and is a predicted model, not a curated record. NCBI's taxonomy places the organism in Eukaryota, Viridiplantae, Streptophyta, Magnoliopsida, Rosales, Rosaceae. The transcript has 3 exons.